GUAGGUGGCAAGCGUUGUCCGGAUUUAUUGGGUUUAAAGGGUGCGUAGGCGGCCUUAUAAGUCAGUGGUGAAAUACUCCAGCUUAACUGGAGGGGUGCCAUUGAUACUGCAAGGCUUGAGUGGAGUCGAGGUAGGCGGAAUUGACGGUGUAGCGGUGAAAUGCUUAGAUAUCGUCAAGAACACCGAUAGUGUAGACAGCUUACUAGGCUCAUACUGACGCUGAGGCACGAAAGUGUGGGGAUCAAACAGGAUUAGAUACCCUGGUAGUCCACACUGUAAACGUUGAUAACUCGCUGUUGGCGAUACACAGUCAGCGGCUAAGCGCAAGCGAUAAGUUAUCCACCUGGGGAGUACGCCGGCAACGGUGAA
Molecule: ribosomal RNA, 369 nt
Filed under: uncultured bacterium
Lineage: Bacteria
Description: bacterial SSU rRNA
Rfam family: Bacterial small subunit ribosomal RNA
Source: RNAcentral